Molecule: ribosomal RNA, 856 nt
Filed under: uncultured bacterium
Lineage: Bacteria
Description: bacterial SSU rRNA
Rfam family: Bacterial small subunit ribosomal RNA
Source: RNAcentral
CGAACGCGUCUCCGUUGAUGAUUUUAGGUGCUUGCACUUGAAAGAUCUUAACAUUGAGACGAGUGGCGAACUGGUGAGUAACACGUGGGUAACCUGCCCUUGAAGUAGGGGAUAACACUUGGAAACAGGUGCUAAUACCGUAUAACAACCAAAACCACCUGGUUUUGGUUUAAAAGACGGCUUCGGCUGUCACUUUAGGAUGGACCCGCGGCGUAUUAGCUUGUUGGUAAGGUAACGGCCUACCAAGGCGAUGAUACGUAGCCGACCUGAGAGGGUAAUCGGCCACAUUGGGACUGAGACACGGCCCAAACUCCUACGGGAGGCAGCAGUAGGGAAUCUUCCACAAUGGACGAAAGUCUGAUGGAGCAACGCCGCGUGAGUGAUGAAGGGUUUCGGCUCGUAAAACUCUGUUGUUGGAGAAGAACAGGUGUCAGAGUAACUGUUGACAUCUUGACGGUAUCCAACCAGAAAGCCACGGCUAACUACGUGCCAGCAGCCGCGGUAAUACGUAGGUGGCAAGCGUUGUCCGGAUUUAUUGGGCGUAAAGCGAGCGCAGGCGGUUUUUUAGGUCUGAUGUGAAAGCCUUCGGCUUAACCGGAGAAGUGCAUCGGAAACCGGGAGACUUGAGUGCAGAAGAGGACAGUGGAACUCCAUGUGUAGCGGUGAAAUGCGUAGAUAUAUGGAAGAACACCAGUGGCGAAGGCGGCUGUCUGGUCUGUAACUGACGCUGAGGCUCGAAAGCAUGGGUAGCGAACAGGAUUAGAUACCCUGGUAGUCCAUGCCGUAAACGAUGAGUGCUAAGUGUUGGAGGGUUUCCGCCCUUCAGUGCUGCAGCUAACGCAUUAAGCACUCCGCC